AAGUUAAGCAAUGGUGGAAAUCAGAGAGACCAGACCUUUGUCAGAGUGAACCUGACCCUUAGCAACCUUGCCCAAUCUCUCUAUUCUUUUCAAUAAAUCAAUUAAAUAUUAAUAUGUAUUGAUAUUUAUUAAAUUAAAUAUCAAUAUGUAUGGUAGUUUUUAUUAUGUACGUUGUCAGAGAUUUAAUCUUUUUCAUAAAUGAAUAAUCCACCAAUUUUUGCUAAACUAUAAUCUAAAGGAAUGUAAUGUUCUGAACUAAAUUCUUAAAUCUCCACUGGAGUUUUCUAUUGUUGUUUUCUAUUUUCUAAAAGGAUCACAGGCAGAACAAUAUUUUUUAAGAAGUUGCUUGUUGCAUGCCUUCUAAACAGCCUACCCUGCCAAGUGCCAUGAUUACUGUGACCACAUCUUCAGAACCAGAAAACAGGAUACCUGGCCCUAAGCAUGCACUCAUGGAGCAGAAGAGUUUUAAAUCUGGAAUGCCACAGAAGACAGAAGAUAACAUGCUUACUACACUUGUAAAGCAACAUGCAGCCAGCCAUUUCCAGUGCAAAUUAUCUCAUUGCAUAGUGUGACAACUAAAGGUCAUAACCAUAAU
This 595-nucleotide long non-coding RNA is filed under the name Homo sapiens (human). RNAcentral describes it as "inflammatory MKL1 (MRTFA) interacting lncRNA". Lineage: Eukaryota; Metazoa; Chordata; Mammalia; Primates; Hominidae. The record is from RNAcentral.